GGGCGAGUGGCGAAACUGGCAUACGCGCUGGAUUUAGGUUCCAGUGGGGCAACCCGUGGGGGUUCGACUCCCCCCUCGCCCACCA
RNAcentral lists this transfer RNA (85 nucleotides) under Armatimonadota bacterium. RNAcentral describes it as "Armatimonadetes bacterium (bioreactor metagenome) tRNA-Leu". It matches the Rfam family "tRNA". From Rfam's summary of the family: Transfer RNA (tRNA) molecules are approximately 80 nucleotides in length. The record is from RNAcentral. RNAcentral also lists the same sequence under 3 other names. Lineage: Bacteria; Bacillati; Armatimonadota.